Molecule: long non-coding RNA, 673 nt
Filed under: Phoenix dactylifera (date palm)
Lineage: Eukaryota; Viridiplantae; Streptophyta; Magnoliopsida; Arecales; Arecaceae
Description: long non-coding RNA (PDAC_LNC010044)
Source: RNAcentral
AAGAAGUCACUUGGAUGUCUAUCCACUCGUCAGUGACUUGCUUGAUGUUGCAGUAGUGUGACUGGUCCUUUGACCUACGGUGCUUCGGCCACUCACAGUAAGGUUAUUAUAGUUUGACUGCACACAUGCAUGGUCUCUAGCCAUAUGGGUCCAUGCAGUGAAGAUUGGCUGCAGUAGGUUCACUGUAGGAGUAGGGUAUGCACCUAUAAAGAAUCUAUCGAUCUUGAUAGAUAAGGAGAGAUCCUAUGUGAUUUAUAAGACUGAGUUCGUAAGACCUCGGCCGGGGCAGUAUGCAAAGUGGAGAAAGAGUUUUCCACUCUCGAACUUAAGUCGAAUAAAUCUUCACAUACGACAGACGAUGGAGUUUGACGAGUUGUCCAUGACCUCCGUCCUGUAGGAAUCCACGAUAGUAGGACUGUAUUACAUAAUAACUGCACCUAGAGGUUCAUCAUUUCAUUCUGCUGGAUAGCCACUACAUGCUGCUAGGUGUCACUGGUGGAUGGUGAGACUCACAGGGAUUAUCUCAAUGAUCGAUAAACCCUAAUGAGUAGAGUUGGAAUCGUUCCAACCCGUUGAAAGGAAUUUUCAAUGAUAUUGAGAUAGAGAUCACAAUAUAUCUCACUACCAGUCAGAAUAGAACCUAUGGGGUCACACACACUAGAAGUAUUGACCG